This 1601-nucleotide ribosomal RNA is filed under the name Cronobacter sakazakii. Its description in RNAcentral is "bacterial LSU rRNA". It matches the Rfam family "Bacterial large subunit ribosomal RNA", at positions 1226 to 2812 of the family's 2925-position model. The record is from RNAcentral. Lineage: Bacteria; Pseudomonadati; Pseudomonadota; Gammaproteobacteria; Enterobacterales; Enterobacteriaceae.
GGGUAGGGGAGCGUUCUGUAAGCCUGUGAAGGUGUGCUGUGAGGCAUGCUGGAGGUAUCAGAAGUGCGAAUGCUGACAUAAGUAACGAUAAAGCGGGUGAAAAGCCCGCUCGCCGGAAGACCAAGGGUUCCUGUCCAACGUUAAUCGGGGCAGGGUGAGUCGACCCCUAAGGCGAGGCCGAAAGGCGUAGUCGAUGGGAAACAGGUUAAUAUUCCUGUACUUGGUGUUACUGCGAAGGGGGGACGGAGAAGGCUAUGUCGGCCGGGCGACGGUUGUCCCGGUUUAAGCGUGUAGGCUGACUUUCCAGGCAAAUCCGGAGAGUUAAGGCUGAGGCGUGAUGACGAGGCACCACGGUGCUGAAGUGACAAAUGCCCUGCUUCCAGGAAAAGCCUCUAAGCAUCAGGUAACAUCAAAUCGUACCCCAAACCGACACAGGUGGUCAGGUAGAGAAUACCAAGGCGCUUGAGAGAACUCGGGUGAAGGAACUAGGCAAAAUGGUGCCGUAACUUCGGGAGAAGGCACGCUGACAUGUAGGUGAAGCCCCUGCGGGUGGAGCUGAAGUCAGUCGAAGAUACCAGCUGGCUGCAACUGUUUAUUAAAAACACAGCACUGUGCAAACACGAAAGUGGACGUAUACGGUGUGACGCCUGCCCGGUGCCGGAAGGUUAAUUGAUGGGGUUAUCGCAAGAGAAGCUCCUGAUCGAAGCCCCGGUAAACGGCGGCCGUAACUAUAACGGUCCUAAGGUAGCGAAAUUCCUUGUCGGGUAAGUUCCGACCUGCACGAAUGGCGUAAUGAUGGCCAGGCUGUCUCCACCCGAGACUCAGUGAAAUUGAACUCGCUGUGAAGAUGCAGUGUACCCGCGGCAAGACGGAAAGACCCCGUGAACCUUUACUACAGCUUGACACUGAACAUUGAGCCUUGAUGUGUAGGAUAGGUGGGAGGCUUUGAAGCGUGGACGCCAGUCUGCGUGGAGCCGACCUUGAAAUACCACCCUUUAAUGUUUGAUGUUCUAACCUGGCGCCGUAAUCCGGCGUGGGGACAGUGUCUGGUGGGUAGUUUGACUGGGGCGGUCUCCUCCCAAAGUGUAACGGAGGAGCACGAAGGUCAGCUAAUCCUGGUCGGACAUCAGGAGGUUAGUGCAAUGGCAUAAGCUGGCUUGACUGCGAGAGUGACGGCUCGAGCAGGUGCGAAAGCAGGUCAUAGUGAUCCGGUGGUUCUGUAUGGAAGGGCCAUCGCUCAACGGAUAAAAGGUACUCCGGGGAUAACAGGCUGAUACCGCCCAAGAGUUCAUAUCGACGGCGGUGUUUGGCACCUCGAUGUCGGCUCAUCACAUCCUGGGGCUGAAGUAGGUCCCAAGGGUAUGGCUGUUCGCCAUUUAAAGUGGUACGCGAGCUGGGUUUAGAACGUCGUGAGACAGUUCGGUCCCUAUCUGCCGUGGGCGCUGGAGAAUUGAGGGGGGCUGCUCCCAGUACGAGAGGACCGGAGUGGACGCAUCACUGGUGUUCGGGUUGUCAUGCCAAUGGCACUGCCCGGUAGCUAAAUGCGGAAGAGAUAAGUGCUGAAAGCAUCUAAGCACGAAACUUGCCCCGAGAUGAGUUCU